RNAcentral lists this ribosomal RNA (1430 nucleotides) under uncultured organism. RNAcentral describes it as "16S ribosomal RNA". It matches the Rfam family "Bacterial small subunit ribosomal RNA". The record is from RNAcentral.
CGCUGGCGGCGUGCUUAACACAUGCAAGUCGAACGGAAAGGCCCUGCUUUUGUGGGGUGCUCGAGUGGCGAACGGGUGAGUAACACGUGAGUAACCUGCCCUUGACUUUGGGAUAACUUCAGGAAACUGGGGCUAAUACCGGAUAGGAGCUCCUGCUGCAUGGUGGGGGUUGGAAAGUUUCGGCGGUUGGGGAUGGACUCGCGGCUUAUCAGCUUGUUGGUGGGGUAGUGGCUUACCAAGGCUUUGACGGGUAGCCGGCCUGAGAGGGUGACCGGCCACAUUGGGACUGAGAUACGGCCCAGACUCCUACGGGAGGCAGCAGUGGGGAAUAUUGCACAAUGGGCGGAAGCCUGAUGCAGCAACGCCGCGUGCGGGAUGACGGCCUUCGGGUUGUAAACCGCUUUCGCCUGUGACGAAGCGUGAGUGACGGUAAUGGGUAAAGAAGCACCGGCUAACUACGUGCCAGCAGCCGCGGUGAUACGUAGGGUGCGAGCGUUGUCCGGAUUUAUUGGGCGUAAAGGGCUCGUAGGUGGUUGAUCGCGUCGGAAGUGUAAUCUUGGGGCUUAACCCUGAGCGUGCUUUCGAUACGGGUUGACUUGAGGAAGGUAGGGGAGAAUGGAAUUCCUGGUGGAGCGGUGGAAUGCGCAGAUAUCAGGAGGAACACCAGUGGCGAAGGCGGUUCUCUGGGCCUUUCCUGACGCUGAGGAGCGAAAGCGUGGGGAGCGAACAGGCUUAGAUACCCUGGUAGUCCACGCUGUAAACGGUGGGUACUAGGUGUGGGGUCCAUUCCACGGGUUCCGUGCCGUAGCUAACGCUUUAAGUACCCCGCCUGGGGAGUACGGCCGCAAGGCUAAAACUCAAAGGAAUUGACGGGGCCCCGCACAAGCGGCGGAGCAUGCGGAUUAAUUCGAUGCAACGCGUAGAACCUUACCUGGGUUUGACAUGGAUCGGGAGUGCUCAGAGAUGGGUGUGCCUCUUUUGGGGUCGGUUCACAGGUGGUGCAUGGCUGUCGUCAGCUCGUGUCGUGAGAUGUUGGGUUAAGUCCCGCAACGAGCGCAACCCUUGUUCACUGUUGCCAGCACGUUAUGGUGGGGACUCAGUGGAGACCGCCGGGGUCGACUCGGAGGAAGGUGGGGAUGACGUCAAGUCAUCAUGCCCCUUAUGUCCAGGGCUUCACGCAUGCUACAAUGGCUGGUACAGAGAGUGGCGAGCCUGUGAGGGUGAGCGAAUCUCGGAAAGCCGGUCUCAGUUCGGAUUGGGGUCUGCAACUCGACCUCAUGAAGUCGGAGUCGCUAGUAAUCGCAGACCAGCAACGCUGCGGUGAAUACGUUCCCGGGGCUUGUACACACCGCCCGUCAAGUCAUGAAAGUUGGUAACACCCGAAGCCGGUGGCCUAACCGUUGUGGGGGGGCCGUCGAAGGUGGGACUGG